UAUAUGUUUUUAAGCUCUUAUUUGAAAAUAUACAAAUGUAUUAAUAUGAUGGAGGUAGUAGAAAAUGCAAAAUACAAUGAUGGUAAUGUUAACUAUUGUAGUAGUAACAGUUGUGCUAUUAGUAAUACGAAUUAUGAACAUAUAGACUCAACCAACUUUAUACGAUUUUAUUUGAUAUAUUUUGAUACAUAUAAAGAGAAAGAAAAUAAAAAUAAAAAUUCGAUUAAUUUUAUUUUUUUUUUAAUUAACAAUUUAACAAAAGAAUUUAACAAAAGCAAAAAAAUUGUAUUAGAAAGUAUAACCAAAUUUAUAAACAUAAAUGAUUGUAUGAAUAAACCCUUUGUUUAUUACAUACAAAACAAAAUUGGAUGUUACUUUUUAAAAAAAGUAAAAAGUGAAUAUGUAAUUUAUAAUAGAGAAGAAAGAAAACGUUUAUAUAAAAUAAAAAGUUCUAUUUUGCACAAAAUUGAAAAGGAGAAAAAACAAAAAAUAGAUACACACAGUAAAAAUGGAAAAUGUGAUAAGUCAUAUGAUAAGGUGUAUUACCAAACCAAAAAAUUCGAACACACUCAACUAAAAUUAAUAAAUAAUAUGAAAAAAAAAAUAGAUGCACGAUUGUUUAUUCCUUUUAUUAAAAUAUAUGACAACGUUUGUUAUGAUAUGAAGAAAUCUGUUUUUGUUAAUCAUGAGAAGAACAAAUUGUUUGAUUUUUUUUUUUAUAAUUAUAAACACAUGUGUCUUAAGUUUGAUACAAAAAGUUUGAUAAUAACAUUAAAUAGUUUUUCAAAAAAAAAUAAAAUGAUAAAUGAUGAAGUAUUAUAUAUGUUAAUUAAUUUAAUUGGAAAAAAAAUUAAUUGUUUUGAUUAUGAACAAAUAAUAGGAAUAAUGAAUAGUUUAUCAAAUAUUAGUAAUAGUAAAUUGUCAAAUAAUUGUUUAAAUUUUUUAAUUCGUUUUUUAUUUAAUAAUAAUAAAAUAAUAUAUUUAAAAGAUAAUCAUAUUAAUAUAUUGCUAAAUGUAAUUGUAAAAAAAAAAAAAUUUAUAAAUACAGAUUGUAUUUAUUUUAUAGCUCAUUUUGUAGAAAAUUAUAAACCAUUUUAUAAAAAUUUAAAAAAUAUAUAUUUAUAUUUUUAUUUUCAUUAUAAUUUUAAUUGUUUUAAUCAAAAUUUUUUAAAUUUCUUAUAUUCUUCCUUAAUAAGCCAAAAAAUUAUAACUAAUUUUCAAGACUUAAACAAUGUUCUUUCAUCCACACUACUUAUUAAUAAUAAUAUAAAAUAUAUGAAACAACUUUUUAAAUUAGUAGAUACAUCUGUUUUAUAUAUUUUAAAAAAUAUAAAUAAUAAAAAUAACAUUUGUUUAACACAUAUCGACAAUAUUAUGAAUUUUAUUUUUUAUAUGAACAAGUCCAUGACAAAUCAAGUUUAUAAAGCUAGCAAAAAAAAUUUACUAAUUAAGUCGAAAAAAGUUUUUAAUUGUAGAAAUAAUAAAAACAGUAAUAAUUAUCCAAAAACGAAUAUUACAUCCUUAGGAAUGAGUAAUACCACUGUUUCGACUAAUGUCAAGUGUAAUAAUAACAUAUAUUUAAAAAAAAAUGCCAAACAAGUGUUAUUUUACUUUUCUUAUAAUUCAUAUAACAAAAUAUAUUACCACACGUCAGCAUUUAAUAUAAAAAUUUUCAUUUUAAUUAAACAAAUUUUAUUAAAAUUUAUGAACAAACAACAUUGUGAUCAUAUUAAUAAUAUAAAUUGUUUUAUUUAUUUUAUAAAAAUGUUAUGUAAUCUAUAUGAGUUACAAAGAAAAACAAAUUUAAUAAAAAAAAUAUAUACUUAUUUUUAUAUAGCACAGAAUAAAUAUAUAUGUCAACAAAAUAAGAUUAUGAAUAAUUAUUUAGUAAGAGUUGUCCAAGACAUUCAAAAAAAUAUUUUACAGUUUUUAAUAGGGGCUAAGUUCAGUGAAUCUCUUAUUAAUAUUUUUUUUAAAUAUAACGUGUACAUGUUAAAAGGUAAUUACUUCGUUAAAGAACUUAACAAUACAACAUAUAUAAAUUUAUAUUUGCAAUCAACUUUAAAUAGGAUAGAAAAAAAUCAACUGAACACUAAUUAUUUUAUAUUUUUAAUGAAUUUUUUAAGUUCUUAUAAAAUUGACGAAAUUGUGUUAGCAAAGUGUGGCAUCGUUUUUGGGAACGGAAUAAAUUUUAAAAACACGGAGCGGAUAAGCCAAGAAAUUAUCGAAAUGACAGUAAUAAAAAAGUUUUUAGCUAACAACAAAUCAGAAAAUUUAAACCAAAAAAGAGAAAAGCUGAUGUUACAUAUUUAUAAUGAAAAACCUUUCUCCCUCAAAAAAAGAACAAAAAAAAAUAAAAAAAACGUUUUAGAAAAUUUUUUUUUAAAUUAUAAGUACACAACAGAUAGUAAUUAUUUAAAAAAAUAUGAAUAUAAAAGAAAUGUUUAUAUGAACCGAAUUAUAAAUAAUAUAGAAAAAAAGAUUUUUAAAAGAAAAAUAAAAAAAUUAGAUGACUCUAUCAAAUUAAACAAUCAUUUUAAAAAUAUUAAUAUAUACAACAAAUUUUUAAUUAGUAAAUUUUUAAAAAAAUGGGAAAAAAAAAUAAAAAAAAAUUGCAUAUUAAAGGUUAAUUACAAUUUAAAUUAUAUUGAAACAGAAAACAUAAUUGAAUUGUUAUUUAGUUCAGUUUUUUUAUAUUUUAGAUAUUUUAUAAAUAAUCUAAUUGAUAAAAAAAACAAAAAAGAAAUUAACCAAGCAAUAAAUUCUUCCAUUAAUAUCUAUAAAAAAUUAAUUAUAUAUGUAUUAAACAAAAUGGUACUUUUAAAAAAACCCAAAAUAAUUAAUAUACAAUAUUCUACUUGUUAUUAUAAACUGAUGUUAUGUAUAUGUACAUUGAAAUAUAUAUUACCACAAAUUUAUUCUACUUACUUUUAUAUUUUAAUGUAUUGGAAAAAAAUAUUAGACAAAAAUUUAAAAAAACAAAAAACGUUAAAAAAUUAUUUUGAUUAUGUUAAAAGUGAUUUGAUAAGCUCAGAUGAAAAGUUAGCUGCGUUAGAAAUUAAAGCAUGUACACAUAUCGAAAAAAACGAUUUUUUAAAAAAUAUUGAAAAAUGUGAUAGCCUUAAUGGUAGUUAUAAAAAUAGUAACAAUAAAAAAAUUGAAUUAUUAAAUGGAGGGGACAAGGAAAAAGAUACAAUAGAUUCCUAUAAACAAUCGUUUUUAAAUUUAUUGCAUUAUCCAUGUAUAUCACAAACAAAAUACAAAUAUAAAUUACAAGAAGAUAAUUAUAACUGUUACCAUUCUUUUGAAAAUAAUUUACAAUUCAAAAAUUGUAUUUAUUAUAAAAAUUUAGUUUACAACAACAUGUAUGAACAAUACAGUUAUUUACAAAAUAUGUCGAACAAAGUGUAUUUGUAUUUUAUGCUUUUAAAAAAUGAAUUUUUACAAAACAAACGAAACAGACAAAACAAACAAAACAGACAAAGACAAAAUUAUAUAAAAUGUCGUGGAAAAUAUAUACAUACAAGAAAAAAAAAAAAAAGCAUAUUAUUUCGAAAUUAUUUUAAUAUAAUAGAUGUUAACAAAAUUGAUUUUUUUCAUAACCAUUUAAUAAGGGUUGAUAUAAAAAAAAACAAAAGCUUUGAAAAUGAUACAAAUACUUAUUUCUUUUUCGUAUAUUCCUUUUUUAACAUAUACAAAGUUGUAACAAAUGGGAUGAGUAGUGAUAGUAUGUGUAGUAACGAAAUAAGUAGUGUCUCAAAUGAACAGUUUUAUCUCAAAAGAGAAACCUCACUAAUCUUGUUUCUUAUUCAGACUAUGUUGGGCAAACAGUUUUUUUCAACUAGGUUUAAGUUAAUACCAUUAUACUCAGAAGAUAUCCACAAUAUACAAACUAAAAAUUCUUUUUAUUUGUAUUUAUCAAAACGGUUAAGGGACUAA
Piliocolobus tephrosceles (Ugandan red Colobus) is the source of this 3939-nucleotide long non-coding RNA. The record is from Ensembl. NCBI's taxonomy places the organism in Eukaryota, Metazoa, Chordata, Mammalia, Primates, Cercopithecidae.